RNAcentral lists this long non-coding RNA (245 nucleotides) under Homo sapiens (human). RNAcentral describes it as "lncAB100.1". The record is from RNAcentral. Lineage: Eukaryota; Metazoa; Chordata; Mammalia; Primates; Hominidae.
UAAAAAUCAAAAUAAAAGGAGAGUAGUUCUUACAGGCAGAAACUCUUAGAGCUCACAAAUUGGAAACAACUGCAAACUUCAGAGUAAAUUCAUAGCUUCCAAAUACAAAUGUUCACAUUGUCCCUCCGCUAUUUUUACACAAAUGCAUUCAGGUGAAGACAGCAACACACAUUGGGAAAGGACAUCUGCUUCCUAUUUUAGUCCCAGAAUCACUUUUGCUUCUAGUCCCAACUGUUCCCUCUCCC